AGAAGUUGUCCAGGGCUCCCUGAGGGAGGCCAGCACAAGAGCUCUGCCAUAAAAGGACAUUGGACAGAAGUGAAGAGUCCAAUCAGAAACUCUUUUUGAGAGACUGAACGCAAAGCAUUCAGAGAGUCAGCAGGCUGGAGAGGCCAAGACACACACACGAAGAAGGCAGGACACUCUUCUCCUCCUGCGGUUGGACUCCAGGCUCUAUGACCUUCAAACUCCAGGACUUACACCAGUUGCCCCUGGGCACUCAGGACUUCUGCUUCAGACUGACAGUUGCAGGACAGUGCAGCAUUUUAUUUUAAAGAUACCCCACAACGUAGGUGGCCAGUCCUGCUGCAGGUGCGGUUUCAAGCCUUUGGAGUUUGACCUUCUAGUCCAAGGUCAUUACAGCUGCAGGCAGAGGCUCCCGCGGGGAAAAGAGCAUUUCCUGGGACGCUGGAACUAAAUGAAUGGCCCACUCUCCAGUUCAGCCCUUGCCUCCUUCCCGACACAUAAAGUUCAAGAGCCACGGUCCUGAGUGCAUAGGAACAGCCCCAUCACCCUUCUCCCUCUGGGCAAGCUAGGAGCAGCGGUGCGAGGCUCCAUUUCUUCUUCUCUGCCUCCUGGACCUCAGCCACCUCUGCUCAGGCACAGGCCAGCUGCCCAGGCGUCCUCAUCUGGCGACCAGCUCUGACCGCAGCCCUGGUCUGCUCUCGGGGUCGGGCCCACACCCCUCUUCUUCCUCCUCUUCCUCCCAAGGCCUGGGCUCGGGUCCCUCUUCUCACCUUUCCCUUUCUUGCGUUGCAACCGUAACUUGGGAAAACCCUUCUUGAUCUUCCUCUCUCACCUCCUUUCAAACACAUGCUUGCAGGCUUUUUCCCGAUCUCAUCCUUAGGGCAGAUACGCUCCCUUGAUUCUGAGGUCUUUGAACUUGCUGUGAAGCCACACUACCUGCGUCCCAGGGUCUCCAGCUUGCAGAUGGACUGUGGUGGGACUUCUCAGUCACCAAGGUCGUGUGAGCCAAUUCCCCUAAUACAUCCCCUCUCAUCUAUCUAUAUCAGUAGAGAUACCAAUAUCAGUACAGAUAUAGCUCCUAUUGGUUCUGUCUCCCCAGACAGCCCUCACAAACACGGUUCCUGAACCCACCUCACACUGCUCCACCCCACACCCAGACAAACGCACACAUAGAGGUAGGCAGGUAAAUACAUAGAUCAAUAGAUUUAUGUAAACUGUGAGCAUCACGCCUGAAGAGAACUCCCUAUUUCCACACCGUGUUGCCACAGCACUCCUACUUCCCACAUCUGCCUCCAAAUUGGCAUUCUUCCUUCCAUCUCUGCUCAUAGGUCAGGCGACCCACCAUGAGGUCACACCCCUUGCCGAGGACCACAGUUUCACAGACACUGUGCCUUCCAGCCACCCCGCUGUCCUGCGGCAGCCAUGGGAAUGUGGUGUUUCAGCAGUCCUCGCGGUGUUCCUCAUGCUGACCCUGCUGAGUUCCAGCCAUCUCACCGGAUCCAGUGGCUUGGGAGUUUGGGUUCAUAAGGAUUUGAGCUCUGCUAACAUCCCUGACAGGAAAGAAGCAGAGUAGCUUUUAGGGACAAACCAUUCCAAGGAGAAGGAUCACUGCACAAGGACCCUCUCACUCUCUCCCCAGAAUCUCCCCUCUCUCUACAGUGCUCUAAAUUCUGUCCUCAUCACCCCUGCAGUGUCUCUUCCCCAUUUCUCCUCUACCAUAGACAUAGACAAAGCAUCACCCAAAAAGGGAGAGGGAAAUAUGACUGGGAAUUCUUUAGAGGUGAGUGGAGUUAAGAACCUGAGCUGGAUUCUUCUCUUUUACAAAGCAAAACUAACUAAAUACAUAAAAAUUUAAAUUUAUUUUCCUUUCUUCCUUGGUCCAGUGAAGACUGGACUCUUCAAAGUGGACUUUGGUAAAAACAAAAGAGAAAGUUAAAAAAAUUAAAUUCUAAAGGCUAAAUUUACACUAUAGAGAUUUUUAAUAACUGAAUUCUGGUAACAAGUUGGUUGACUCAAGCUAAGAUUCUUUUCCUUCCACUUCUGCUUUCUUAUUGUUGUUUUUGGUUUUAUUUUUGCAUUUGUGCUGUCACACACAGGAUUUCUCCUCCUUUCAUUUAUUUCCACCAGCAGACCUGCACCAAUACAAAAAUGUGCCCUGUUAAUAAUAAUAGCUGCUGUUUAUUGAUUAUUUACCACAUCCAGGUACUUCAUGUAAGAAUGCUAUACUGUAGCUAAUUAAGAUAAUCACAGAAAAUUAUCAAUAGGUAACUUCGGUUACUAUUUUCUACAUGCUAGCUUUUAUUCUCACUUCAUCCUUACCAUCAUGCUAGGAGGAUAGGUAUUAUUAUCACCAUUUUAGAGAUGAGAAAAGUGAAGUAAAUACUAUUAAUUUCAUUUAGAAGAUAAGUAGAUGAGGCUUAAUCACACAGUUAUUAAGUGGCAAAGACCGGAUUUGAAUCAAGAUAUCUGAUUUUUAAAAUUCACCUUGUUUCAAAGCAUUUUACUUCACCUAAGAAGUUAAUACACCUCACAACCAGAUAACUCCUUCUUUUCAAUUAGACUGUGUCUGUAUCUGGGAUCAGUUGCGAAGCAGAAGUAUGACGUGACUAAGGCCACCGCUGGGUUAGGAUACCCCCAUCCAAGGUCAGGUUCUUAACUUCACUUAGCUCUGAAGACUUACGAUUAGUUUUUCCUCUCCCAUUUUUUGGGUAGCCCUUUCUCUUCUUUUCUGUGGAAAAAUUUGUAACUUACCAGAACAGUUCACAAUAUGACAACAUUGUAGUGGUGACAUCACAGAGACAGAAGGAGGAAGAAUGGCAACCCUUGGACUCCUGGGGAUGUGGGAGCUCCUUGACCACAUGUGGUACCUCUCUUUCCUGAUCCCAGAUUGAGAGCUGUACUAGCCUGGCAUGCAGACAGCAGCUUUAGAAUCAGAUCUGCCUUCUGGCGGCUUCCCACCUAGGAGCCAUGGGACCUUUGUGAAGUCACCAAUUGUGCUGUGGAUGCUUCAUUUGUGAAGGAGAACAGGACUGCCUUGUAAGUUGCAAUAUGCGUUAGAAAUAGCAAAUAAACAGUACUUAACUCAUAGGAGGCCUGUGAUAAAUGGGAGCUUUUAUCAUAGACUGACUUUCCUGCUCCUGUUUUGCUUCUUCUUUAUGUUUAGGUGAAAUUACGGAUGGUGCUACUAAAACAUAUCAAUAAUUUGAAUUUCACUUUUGUGGAUGCUUUAAACAUCAUAGUCAUUAGAAGGUGGAUCUGGCUGAUUGUACUUUAAGUUUUCAGUUUGAGCUGGAGCUUUGUAUUAUAACAGGAGGGUACUGGACAAGGUGAGUUGCUGAUAGCCUCCCCCCACCUGCCAACAGACCUAUCAUUAGAUGGAAUGUAAUGGACUUUGGCCAGUUGUUCUCCACCCCAGCUCUGACUUAGCGGCUCUGGCAAGAAUGGAUAUAUGAGCCUAAAUACAGAGCUUGUUGUGCUACUUUUGGCUUUCCUUGUCAUUAUUUCUUCCUCUAAAUUCAACAAAUCAUUACUUCCUCUUUUAUUAUGUUUUAGUAUGAGUGUUUUAAUACCACAGAUAUUCAAAAUAAGCCUGUGGGAGACACUGGGUUAUGAGGUGAUCAUACAUUGUUCCUUUAAUUUUCAGAACAACACAAUAAGAUAGGGACCCUGUCCCAGAGAUGACUACAUUGAAGUUCAGAGAGUUUAAGUAACUUGCCCAAAGUCACAUCGCUAGUGAAUAGCAAAACGAGGAUUCAAGCCUAGGCCUGCCUAUUUUCAAAGUUUAUGGAAGGAAUUAAAACAUUUCUUAGUCUAAUUUUCUCGGAGUUUUGUUCUGCUUUGUUUUGUUUUGUUUGGCUUACUUUCUUCAUCAGCCUAAUACCUGCUUCAAGUCUAAGUGAAGCUUUCACCUCUGCCUGGAAGUCUUCCCUGUCCCUGUAGGCUGUCAGGUGGCCUUCUCCCAGCCCCCAUAGCAUCCAGCAUAGAAGCUGAUCACAGCACUUACCACCCAGUGAAAAGUGUGGGCACAGUCCUGUCGGCCCCUUCCUCCUAGACUGUGCACCCUUGGGCAGCAUGCUUUGCUUCCACAACACUUGCUACUUAGCAGGGGCUCAGGGCAAAUGUGUGGACUUGAGCUGCCAAAUUGAAGCCAUAGGUCAAUAUUAGAACUAAACACUAGUGCUAAAGUGAAAACUUUAAGAUGCACAUAGACCAGUAAUCCCCAAAUGUGUUUGCUGAGGAGUGUGUGUGUGUGUGUGUGUGUGUGUGUGUGUGUGUGUGAAGAGACUGUGUACCACUGGCUUUUUCUCUCCUGUCAUACUUUCACUCCUGAUGGACUAGGCCUAUGGAGUGUUCAUUUUUCUCCCUGAACAUUAGACAUCUCUCUGCUGCCUUUAAAUAAAAUUCCUCAUUUUACCUCUCCUCUUCUUUUCUUUAUUUCCUUUGCUUCAGACAAGAUAUGAGCCCUUAACUCACCAUAAUUAACCUCACAAUGGGCUACUGUUUGUUUCAUAUUGGAGACCACAAGAUGGAUCAGAUAAUAGUCCAAUAUUUUUGGACUACAAUUUCCAAUAUUAUUCCAAUAUUGCUGGAAUAUUAUUCCAGUAUCAUCUACUAUUUUCCCGAUAUUAUUAUUGGAAAAUAAUAGCAUAGCUAUUAUAUAGAAUAUUUACCCUGUGCCAGGGACUGUUUCAAGCACUUUACUUACAUUAACUCAUUUAAUCUUCACAACAACUUUAUGAGAUUCAUACUAUUAGUAUCAACAUUUUACAGAUGAGGAAACUGAGGUACAGAUGGGAAACUUGCUCAAGUUCACACAGCAAUUAAGUGAUCAAGUCCAAGAGCAAAACCAGGCAGGCUGGCUCCAGAGCUCACGAUAGUCCACCACUGCUUUCCACCAUCACUACGGAAUCAAGUCCAUGAGGAUACUCACCUUAUGUCAGUUGCCUAAGUUGGAAAUUAUAGAAUCUUCAAAUUGGAAGGGACGUUAUCAUCCAAGAUUUCAACUUUCUACUCACUGCAAAAUCCCUUCUGGAACUUCCCAGAUUGAUGAAUUUUCAUCAGCUCUGCUUGAGUACUCCCAGUGACUUGGAAAAAAAACACUGUAAUAUGGAUAUGAAAUAUAAACUGUUCAUGGAUAAAUUAUUGCAUAAUAAAAACAUGCCUAAUGGCUACACUCCCCUAA
Molecule: long non-coding RNA, 5179 nt
Filed under: Homo sapiens (human)
Lineage: Eukaryota; Metazoa; Chordata; Mammalia; Primates; Hominidae
Description: PREDICTED lncRNA (TCONS_00208728)
Source: RNAcentral